This 65-nucleotide microRNA precursor is filed under the name Oryza meridionalis. RNAcentral describes it as "pre miRNA MIR2907". It matches the Rfam family "MIR2907 microRNA precursor family". The record is from RNAcentral. Lineage: Eukaryota; Viridiplantae; Streptophyta; Magnoliopsida; Poales; Poaceae.
CAGCGCCCCUUCCUCUGCCCACCCUGCUGCAACGUGGCAGCUGAGUGAGGGCCUCAGGGCGGCUC